This is a long non-coding RNA of Limulus polyphemus (Atlantic horseshoe crab), 510 nucleotides long. RefSeq lists it as uncharacterized. The transcript is spliced from 2 exons. The record is from RefSeq and is a predicted model, not a curated record. Lineage: Eukaryota; Metazoa; Arthropoda; Merostomata; Xiphosura; Limulidae.
CCGGGCCUGGGGAAUGCCUUCCUUUACCUCUUCAGCACCAUCUUUUCCUUCCGUUCAUACAGACAUGUUUGAGGGGUUACCAUGGGAACGCUUGGGAUACAACCCCUGGAGAUUGAGAUAGAAUUCGUGACCAAAACUACAUUGGGCUAUAUCUGUGUCCACCACGUGGAAUCGAACUCCGAAUUUUAACGUUGUAAUUCAUUAGACUUACCAUUGUCCCACUGGGUGACCAUGCUUUUCUGAAUAGGAUGGUUAAUUUUGUUCAUGUCAUUGGCUCAAAACCCUACAAACUGUAUAUCAGACCUAUGUAUAUAAUUAUUGAGUUUUUCACGUGUUGCCUUAAUCAUGAUGUUUUUCGUGUGGUGUUUUGUAUUAUUCAGUUUUAUGCUAACAAUUUAGGAUGUGUGUGUGUUAUUAUACAUACAAAGUGGCUUACAAAUCAUUAGUAAUAGGGUGAAUCAGCCUGUUAUCGUUGUUCUUUUGGAAUAAAUAUAUUUUAAAAACCACAAA